Molecule: ribosomal RNA, 1041 nt
Filed under: Lactiplantibacillus sp.
Lineage: Bacteria; Bacillati; Bacillota; Bacilli; Lactobacillales; Lactobacillaceae
Description: bacterial SSU rRNA
Rfam family: Bacterial small subunit ribosomal RNA
Source: RNAcentral
CGGCGGGCGGGGUCUAUACAUGCAGUCGAACGAACUCUGGUAUUGAUUGGUGCUUGCAUCAUGAUUUACAUUUGAGUGAGUGGCGAACUGGUGAGUAACACGUGGGAAACCUGCCCAGAAGCGGGGGAUAACACCUGGAAACAGAUGCUAAUACCGCAUAACAACUUGGACCGCAUGGUCCAAGUUUGAAAGAUGGCUUCGGCUAUCACUUUUGGAUGGUCCCGCGGCGUAUUAGCUAGAUGGUGGGGUAACGGCUCACCAUGGCAAUGAUACGUAGCCGACCUGAGAGGGUAAUCGGCCACAUUGGGACUGAGACACGGCCCAAACUCCUACGGGAGGCAGCAGUAGGGAAUCUUCCACAAUGGACGAAAGUCUGAUGGAGCAACGCCGCGUGAGUGAAGAAGGGUUUCGGCUCGUAAAACUCUGUUGUUAAAGAAGAACAUAUCUGAGAGUAACUGCUCAGGUAUUGACGGUAUUUAACCAGAAAGCCACGGCUAACUACGUGCCAGCAGCCGCGGUAAUACGUAGGUGGCAAGCGUUGUCCGGAUUUAUUGGGCGUAAAGCGAGCGCAGGCGGUUUUUUAAGUCUGAUGUGAAAGCGUUCGGCUCAACCGAAGAAGUGCAUCGGAAACUGGGAAACUUGAGUGCAGAAGAGGACAGUGGAACUCCAUGUGUAGCGGUGAAAUGCGUAGAUAUAUGGAAGAACACCAGUGGCGAAGGCGGCUGUCUGGUCUGUAACUGACGCUGAGGCUCGAAAGUAUGGGUAGCAAACAGGAUUAGAUACCCUGGUAGUCCAUACCGUAAACGAUGAAUGCUAAGUGUUGGAGGGUUUCCGCCCUUCAGUGCUGCAGCUAACGCAUUAAGCAUUCCGCCUGGGGAGUACGGCCGCAAGGCUGAAACUCAAAGGAAUUGACGGGGGCCCGCACAAGCGGUGGAGCAUGUGGUUUAAUUCAAAGCUACGCGAAGAACCUUACCAGUCUUGACAUACUAUGCAAAUCUAGAGAUUAGACGUUCCCUUCGGGACAUGGAUACUGUGGUGCAU